Molecule: ribosomal RNA, 497 nt
Filed under: uncultured bacterium
Lineage: Bacteria
Description: partial 16S ribosomal RNA
Rfam family: Bacterial small subunit ribosomal RNA
Source: RNAcentral
GAUGAACGCUGGCGGCGUGCCUAAUACAUGCAAGUCGAGCGAACAGACGAGGAGCUUGCUCCUCUGACGUUAGCGGCGGACGGGUGAGUAACACGUGGAUAACCUACCUAUAAGACUGGGAUAACUUCGGGAAACCGGAGCUAAUACCGGAUAAUAUAUUGAACCGCAUGGUUCAAUAGUGAAAGACGGUUUUGCUGUCACUUAUAGAUGGAUCCGCGCCGCAUUAGCUAGUUGGUAAGGUAACGGCUUACCAAGGCAACGAUGCGUAGCCGACCUGAGAGGGUGAUCGGCGACACUGGAACUGAGACAGGGUCCAGACUCCUACGGGAGGCAGCAGUAGGGAACCUUCCGCAGUGGGCGAAAGCCUGGCGGAGCAACGCGGCGUGAGUGAUGAAGGUCUUCGGAUCGUAAAAAUCUGUUAUUAGGGAAGAACAAAUGUGUAAGUAACUAUGCACGUCUUGACGGUACCUGAUCAGAAAGCCACGGCUAACUACGUG